AUGAACGCUGGCGGCGUGCCUAAUACAUGCAAGUCGAGCGAACAGACGAGGAGCUUGCUCCUCUGACGUUAGCGGCGGACGGGUGAGUAACACGUGGAUAACCUACCUAUAAGACUGGGAUAACUUCGGGAAACCGGAGCUAAUACCGGAUAAUAUAUUGAACCGCAUGGUUCAAUAGUGAAAGACGGUUUUGCUGUCACUUAUAGAUGGAUCCGCGCCGCAUUAGCUAGUUGGUAAGGUAACGGCUUACCAAGGCAACGAUGCGUAGCCGACCUGAGAGGGUGAGCGGCCACACUGGAACUGAGACACGGUCCAGACUCCUACGGGAGGCAGCAGUAGGGAAUCUUCCGCAAUGGGCGAAAGCCUGACGGAGCAACGCCGCGUGAGUGAUGAAGGUCUUCGGAUCGUAAAACUCUGUUAUUAGGGAAGAACAAAUGUGUAAGUAACUAUGCACGUCUUGACGGUACCUAAUCAGAAAGCCACGGCUAACUACGUU
This 496-nucleotide ribosomal RNA is filed under the name uncultured bacterium. RNAcentral's name for it is "partial 16S ribosomal RNA". It matches the Rfam family "Bacterial small subunit ribosomal RNA", at positions 29 to 507 of the family's 1533-position model. The record is from RNAcentral.